RNAcentral lists this long non-coding RNA (451 nucleotides) under Homo sapiens (human). RNAcentral's name for it is "non-protein coding lnc-CDYL2-6:13". Lineage: Eukaryota; Metazoa; Chordata; Mammalia; Primates; Hominidae. The record is from RNAcentral.
GAUGCCUCCCGGCCGCCGUAGGCGAAGGUUCGCGGAAGAGGGGAGCAGGCGCUCACCUGAGGUUCGCCCAAUCCUGGAGCAGUGGGUCCCGGGAGGGAAGAGGGAAGUGGGUCAGGCUCCCGGCCUGUGUUUGUCCAUUCAUUCAUUCAUUGAGGCACGAAUUAAUGUGAUAACCACUUAUUCGUUCAAAAACUGCUGAUUCACCACCCACCAGGUGCCAGGGAGACGGACAAAAUGCACCAAACAAAAUGCACGAAACAGUACCGGAAGCAGUAAUGUCCACGUGUGAUACUUGCCCUGGAGCAACUGACUCAGAAAUUGGAAUGAGUUGUCUGUGGAUCCUGUAAGGAGCCUGGACAUGGUGAAGAGAAUGCCUUGACCAUCAGGAGACAGCUUAGCUUGUUGAAUCUUGAUCACUUCUUCUGACCGCUUUGGAUCUUAAAAGAACAAG